CGCUCCUUGUUUUACCAAAUAUAAGGAGUAGGACCUGCCCGGUGAGAUUUUUAACGGCCGCGGUACUCUGACCGUGCAAAGGUAGCAUAAUCAUUUGCCUUAUAAUUGAAGGCUUGUAUGAAUGGUUUGACGAAAUCGAUACUGUCUCUUUUUUACUUUGUAGAAUUUGACUUAAGGGUGAAGAGGCCCUUAUCUUACUGAAGGACAAGAAGACCCUGUCGAGCUUAAAGAAUAGGUGGAGAAUUAAUAUAAAACUAAAUAAAUAGAUUACUAGAUAAUUCUUUUGGUUGGGGCGACUAAGGAACAGAAAAAGCUUCCUUUAUUCUUUAUAUCUUACAGGUUAAAGAUCCAGCUAUGCUGAUUGUAGAAAUUAGUUACCGCAGGGAUAACAGCAUAAUCUUUCUUAAGAGACCAUAUCGAAAGGGGGGGUUGUGACCUCGAUGUUGGACUAGGAUGUCCUAAAGAUGUAGAAGUCUUUGAGGGUUGGUCUGUUCGACCAUUAAAAUCCU
Molecule: ribosomal RNA, 509 nt
Filed under: Supplanaxis nancyae
Lineage: Eukaryota; Metazoa; Mollusca; Gastropoda; Planaxidae
Description: partial 16S ribosomal RNA
Rfam family: Bacterial large subunit ribosomal RNA
Source: RNAcentral